UGUGGCCAUGAGAGUGCACUGCUCACAUC
RNAcentral lists this non-coding RNA (29 nucleotides) under Homo sapiens (human). Lineage: Eukaryota; Metazoa; Chordata; Mammalia; Primates; Hominidae. The record is from RNAcentral.